UACGUAGGGCGCAAGCGUUGUCCGGAAUUAUUGGGCGUAAAGAGCUCGUAGGCGGCCUGUCGCGUCUGCUGUGAAAUCCCGGGGCUUAACCCCGGGCGUGCAGUGGAUACGGGCUGGCUGGAGGCAGGCAGGGGAGAACGGAAUUCCCGGUGUAGCGGUGAAAUGCGCAGAUAUUAGGAAGAACACCAGUGGCGAAGGCGGCUCACUGGCCCGGUACUGACGCUGAGGCGCGAAAGCGUGGGGAGCAAACAGGG
Molecule: ribosomal RNA, 254 nt
Filed under: uncultured bacterium
Lineage: Bacteria
Description: partial 16S ribosomal RNA
Rfam family: Bacterial small subunit ribosomal RNA
Source: RNAcentral